UUACGAGCGAAAAGCUUAAAACUCAAAGGACUUGGCGGUGCUCCAUACCGACUUAGAGGAGCCUGUCCUAUAAUCGAUAUUCCACGCUAAACCUCACCACUCUUUGCCCUAACAGCCUAUAUACCGCCGUCGCCAACUUACCCCAUGAGGGAUCAACAGUAAGUAAAAAAGUCAAACACUAAAACGUCAGGUCAAGGUGUAGCUAAUAGACUGG
RNAcentral lists this ribosomal RNA (214 nucleotides) under Uta stansburiana. Its description in RNAcentral is "partial 12S ribosomal RNA". It matches the Rfam family "Bacterial small subunit ribosomal RNA", at positions 880 to 1212 of the family's 1533-position model. Lineage: Eukaryota; Metazoa; Chordata; Lepidosauria; Squamata; Phrynosomatidae. The record is from RNAcentral.